Molecule: transfer RNA, 617 nt
Filed under: uncultured Prochlorococcus sp.
Lineage: Bacteria; Bacillati; Cyanobacteriota; Cyanophyceae; Synechococcales; Prochlorococcaceae
Description: partial contains 16S ribosomal RNA, 16S-23S ribosomal RNA intergenic spacer, and 23S ribosomal RNA
Rfam family: tRNA (bases 225-297)
Source: RNAcentral
UGGAUCACCUCCUAACAGGGAGACAACAAAAUGUAAAUAUUAAUUUUGUCACCUUAGGUCGAUCGGUAUCUCAGAUUCUUAUUUUUUAAGAAUUUCAGUUUCUAAGUUUUUUCUAGGUCACACCCAUCACUUUUUCCUGGGCCAUUAGCUCAGGUGGUUAGAGCGCACCCCUGAUAAGGGUGAGGUCCCUGGUUCAAGUCCAGGAUGGCCCAUAUCUCUAUGUUGGGGGUAUAGCUCAGUUGGUAGAGCGCCUGCUUUGCAAGCAGGAUGUCAGCGGUUCGAGUCCGCUUACCUCCACUGAAUACCACCUCUUACAUAUUUAAAGAGGGAAAUUGUUUUGAGUCGUGUCCUAAUUUGCUCUGAGCGAAUCUAGCUUCCUAUUUUAUUCAAAAAUAAGAUGCUGGACUCAUUGAAUUUUUUUCAUUGUUUUCAGAGAACCUUGACAACUGCAUAGAUUAUUUUUGAAGACAAUAAGCAUCUUUUAAUGAUGCAGAUUUAUUAUUUGUGCGAAUGCAUUAAAUAACAAUUCUAUUGAGCUGAUGCUUCAAUUAUUGAAGUUAUUGGUCAAACUAUAAAGGGCUCACGGAGGAUACCUAGGCACACAGAGGCGAUGAAGG